UACGAAGGGUGCAAACGUUGCUCGGAAUCAUUGGGCGUAAAGCGCACGUAGGCGGCUACUCAAGUCGGGGGUGAAAGCCCGGGGCUCAACCCCGGAACUGCCUUCGAAACUAGGUAGCUAGAAUCUUGGAGAGGCGAGUGGAAUUCCUGGUGUAGCGGUGAAAUGCGCAGAUAUCAGGAGGAACACCAAUGGCGAAGGCAGCUCGCUGGGACGGUACUGACGCUGAGGCGCGAAAGCGUGGGGAGCAAACAGG
Molecule: ribosomal RNA, 253 nt
Filed under: uncultured bacterium
Lineage: Bacteria
Description: partial 16S ribosomal RNA
Rfam family: Bacterial small subunit ribosomal RNA
Source: RNAcentral